AUUGAACGCUGGCGGCAUGCCUUACACAUGCAAGUCGAACGGCAGCACGGGUGCUUGCACCUGGUGGCGAGUGGCGAACGGGUGAGUAAUACAUCGGAACAUGUCCUGUAGUGGGGGAUAGCCCGGCGAAAGCCGGAUUAAUACCGCAUACGAUCUCCGGAUGAAAGCGGGGGACCUUCGGGCCUCGCGCUAUCGGGUUGGCCGAUGGCUGAUUAGCUAGUUGGUGGGGUAAAGGCCUACCAAGGCGACGAUCAGUAGCUGGUCUGAGAGGACGACCAGCCACACUGGGACUGAGACACGGCCCAGACUCCUACGGGAGGCAGCAGUGGGGAAUUUUGGACAAUGGGCGAAAGCCUGAUCCAGCAAUGCCGCGUGUGUGAAGAAGGCCUUCGGGUUGUAAAGCACUUUUGUCCGGAAAGAAAUCCUUGGCCCUAAUACGGUCGGGGGAUGACGGUACCGGAAGAAUAAGCACCGGCUAACUACGUG
Molecule: ribosomal RNA, 486 nt
Filed under: uncultured bacterium
Lineage: Bacteria
Description: partial 16S ribosomal RNA
Rfam family: Bacterial small subunit ribosomal RNA
Source: RNAcentral